AUAUUAACGUUGAGAAGGAUCAGUAGAGUUAGUAAACGAUUCAGAGAGUACGUGGCUGGUGUGAACGUAACGUUGUUGACUUGAACUCACCUUUGAGUUUCUUGUUGAAUUUAGUAAGCAAGAACGGUAUUUCCCGUUAUGAAAUCGAGUGUCGACACUUUGUCGAAAUUUAGGUGGUACCGCGAGUAAUUCGUCCUAUAC
This 201-nucleotide non-coding RNA is filed under the name Ligilactobacillus pobuzihii. RNAcentral describes it as "Lactobacillus pobuzihii T-box sequence". It matches the Rfam family "T-box leader". From Rfam's summary of the family: Uncharged tRNA acts as the effector for transcription antitermination of genes in the T-box leader family. T-boxes are found upstream of many aminoacyl-tRNA synthetase genes and some amino acid biosynthetic genes usually in Gram-positive bacteria. Lineage: Bacteria; Bacillati; Bacillota; Bacilli; Lactobacillales; Lactobacillaceae. The record is from RNAcentral.